This 273-nucleotide unclassified non-coding RNA is filed under the name Hevea brasiliensis (rubber tree). Lineage: Eukaryota; Viridiplantae; Streptophyta; Magnoliopsida; Malpighiales; Euphorbiaceae. The record is from RNAcentral.
GGCGCGGGAGCGGAGGUAGGCGUCGAGCACCUCGCGGCGGACCAUGCCGAUGUACUCGUGCGGCGCGAGCGUGCCGCCGAUGUCGACGGCGACGUUGGACGGCGAAAUCAUCUUCAUCUUCCUCACCUUCCUGUCGACGAGGUCCAGCGGCAGGUCGAACUCCGACACCAUGCACAGCGGGAUGGCCCCGCCGCAGGGCUUGCAGUUGUCCAGCUUCCGUUCGAUGAGCACCGUCUCCACGCCGCCCUUGGCCAGCGCCUCCGCCGCCGCGCC